CACACUGCACCCUCAAUCGCCACUAACUUCACUGGCUUCCUUUCACUUUAUUAAAGAACGUGGAGAGAACGUCACCGCGUUGUAUACGAUAACUAAUUAAAAAUGUGAACAAGUGAUAUCUGCGUGCUGCGUUUAGGCGCUGGCAAGUUUGAAUAGAAACAAAAUGGAGUCAUGUACAACACGUGUUUUCUGGCAGAGAUCGGCACACGAUAGUUCAUUCGGCAUCGCUACGGAUUAUUAUUGAAGUUCUCAUUGUAAAUGUUCAUUACAACGCGCAAUGGGUGCAACAAAUUCUGUGACAAACAAGGCCUACAAACCCUGUUAAUAAGGGCUUUCCCUAAUGCUGUCUUCUUCACUACCAAUUUUCACGAUGGAUGGCCCAGAGACGUAUCGGAAAUCUCUAUUGAAAAGGUGUGAAAGCAGUAAAAAAAAAAUUACAAUAGUUACUUUAUAAAGGCGUUUAUCCAGAAAGGUUGGGUACCUUGGAUGAAGAAAAAUUAUAAUCUUGUGG
This 511-nucleotide small RNA is filed under the name Drosophila yakuba. RNAcentral describes it as "GE28161". Lineage: Eukaryota; Metazoa; Arthropoda; Insecta; Diptera; Drosophilidae. The record is from RNAcentral.